UACGGAGGGUGCAAGCGUUAAUCGGAAUUACUGGGCGUAAAGAGUACGUAGGUGGUUCGUUAAGUCAGAUGUGAAAGCCCAGGGCUCAACCUUGGAACUGCAUUUGAUACUGGCGAACUCGAGUAUGGUAGAGGGGGGUAGAAUUCAUAGUGUAGCGGUGAAAUGCGUAGAUAUUAUGAGGAAUACCAGUGGCGAAGGCGGCCCCCUGGACCAAUACUGACACUGAGGUACGAAAGCGUGGGUAGCGAACAGG
RNAcentral lists this ribosomal RNA (253 nucleotides) under uncultured prokaryote. RNAcentral describes it as "partial 16S ribosomal RNA". It matches the Rfam family "Bacterial small subunit ribosomal RNA", at positions 524 to 776 of the family's 1533-position model. The record is from RNAcentral.